Molecule: transfer RNA, 95 nt
Filed under: Pseudomonas putida
Lineage: Bacteria; Pseudomonadati; Pseudomonadota; Gammaproteobacteria; Pseudomonadales; Pseudomonadaceae
Also listed under: 1 other name
Description: tRNA-Cys(gca)
Source: RNAcentral
CCACCAUCUUCAUGACGGCAGGGCACGGCGGUUGCAGCCCGCAGGGGCUUGCACUGGCGGCCUGGCGCCGCGGGUUCGAGGUGUGCAUGGUGGUC